Molecule: ribosomal RNA, 253 nt
Filed under: uncultured bacterium
Lineage: Bacteria
Description: partial 16S ribosomal RNA
Rfam family: Bacterial small subunit ribosomal RNA
Source: RNAcentral
UACGAAGGGUGCUAGCGUUGCUCGGAAUCACUGGGCGUAAAGCGCACGUAGGCGGACUCUUAAGUCGGUGGUGAAAUCCUGGAGCUCAACUCCAGAACUGCCUUCGAUACUGAGAGUCUCGAGUCCGAGAGAGGUGAGUGGAACUGCGAGUGUAGAGGUGAAAUUCGUAGAUAUUCGCAAGAACACCAGUGGCGAAGGCGGCUUACUGGUCCGGUUCUGACGCUGAGGCGCGAAAGCGUGGGGAGCAAACAGG